RNAcentral lists this ribosomal RNA (247 nucleotides) under uncultured bacterium. Its description in RNAcentral is "partial 16S ribosomal RNA". It matches the Rfam family "Bacterial small subunit ribosomal RNA", at positions 86 to 334 of the family's 1533-position model. The record is from RNAcentral.
CGAUGGCGACCGGCGCACGAGUGAGUAACACGUAUCCAACCUGCCGAUGACUCGGGGAUAGCCUUCCGAAAGAAAGAUUAAUACCCGAUGGCAUAGUUCUUCCGCAUGGUAGAACUAUUAAAGAAUUUCGGUCAUCGAUGGGGAUGCGUUCCAUUAGGUUGUUGGCGGGGUAACGGCCCACCAAGCCUUCGAUGGAUAGGGGUUCUGAGAGGAAGGUCCCCCACAUUGGAACUGAGACACGGUCCAA